AUUGGGCGUUGAGAGCGGGAUCUAGAUCUGUCUACCAGACAAGCACAAAGCCAUUUCGAAACCGAGAAAUUAGGGUUUUGCCACUGUCAGAAGUGACUAGAAGAGAGCAAGAAAAAAUUAAGCCGGGAAUUUUCUUGCUAUCCUUUUAGUUUACCCUUCUCACUGUGGUGAAACCCUAAUUUGUGAACCCCGCUCGAGAAUUCACCUCCAUUGUUUCUUUUCGUUUGUUUUGUCGGGUCAUGGAGCUGUUGUUUGUGGGCAAAAUUUGGAAGACGGGAUGGCAACAACCAGGAAUGUAGUGCACCUAAUCAGAGGGGCAUCUAUGAUGCUUGCCGAGCUUGCAAUGGAGGCUGGUUUACCAGAUGGUGUGCUAAAUAUUGUUCAUGGAACUAAUGACAUUGUGAACCAUAUUUGUGAUGAUGAAGACAUCAAGGCCUACCAGAUGGUGUCCUAAAUAUUGUUCAUGGAACUACUGACAUUGUGAACCAUAUUUGUGUUGACGAAGACAUUAAGGCAAUAUCAUUUGUGGAUUCAAAUACAAGAAGUUUUAUCUUAUGAACUUCAAUUUGCAUUCUUAGUUUUAACUUAUGUAAUUGAUCUGUACAGUAAGCUUUUAACUAAUAAGCUUUGAUCUGUAGGAUUGAAUUAGUAUCAAUACUUCAUAUAGUUAAUCUUGUAAAUAUGGAUUAGCAUGUUGGAAUACACAUAUAUGUUUGGGCAGCAGCAAAAGGAAAACGUGUUCA
Amborella trichopoda is the source of this 743-nucleotide long non-coding RNA. RefSeq lists it as uncharacterized. Lineage: Eukaryota; Viridiplantae; Streptophyta; Magnoliopsida; Amborellales; Amborellaceae. The record is from RefSeq and is a predicted model, not a curated record.